RNAcentral lists this ribosomal RNA (254 nucleotides) under uncultured bacterium. RNAcentral describes it as "partial 16S ribosomal RNA". It matches the Rfam family "Bacterial small subunit ribosomal RNA", at positions 524 to 777 of the family's 1533-position model. The record is from RNAcentral.
UACGAGGGGUGCAAGCGUUGCUCGGAAUUAUUGGGCGUAAAGGGUAGGUAGGUGGUCUCGUUUGUCUGGGGUGAAAGCCUUGAGCUUAACUCAAGAAGUGCCCUAGAAACGGCGAGACUAGAGUCUUGGAGAGGGUCGUGGAAUUCCCGGUGUAGCGGUGAAAUGCGUAGAGAUCGGGAGGAACACCAGAGGCGAAGGCGGCGACCUGGACAAGUACUGACGAUCAGGCACGAAAGCGUGGGGAGCAAACAGGG